Molecule: ribosomal RNA, 468 nt
Filed under: uncultured bacterium
Lineage: Bacteria
Description: partial 16S ribosomal RNA
Rfam family: Bacterial small subunit ribosomal RNA
Source: RNAcentral
GACGAACGCUGGCGGCGUGCUUAACACAUGCAAGUCGAACGGAAAGGCCCUGCUUUUGUGGGGUGCUCGAGUGGCGAACGGGUGAGUAACACGUGAGUAACCUGCCCUUGACUUUGGGAUAACUUCAGGAAACUGGGGCUAAUACCGGAUAGGAGCUCCUGCUGCAUGGUGGGGGUUGGAAAGUUUCGGCGGUUGGGCAUGGACUCGCGGCUUAUCAGCUUGUUGGUGGGGUAGUGGCUUACCAAGGCUUUGACGGGUAGCCGGCCUGAGAGGGUGACCGGCCACAUUGGGACUGAGAUACGGCCCAGACUCCUACGGGAGGCAGCAGUGGGGAAUAUUGCACAAUGGGCGGAAGCCUGAUGCAGCAACGCCGCGUGCGGGAUGACGGCCUUCGGGUUGUAAACCGCCUUCGCCUGUGACGAAGCGUGAGUGACGGUAAUGGGUAAAGAAGCACCGGCUAACUACGUG